This 153-nucleotide unclassified non-coding RNA is filed under the name soil metagenome. Its description in RNAcentral is "partial internal transcribed spacer 1". The record is from RNAcentral.
GUGAUUAAAUCGAGCGUGUCUUCAUUGACCGCUCACCCUUCUCACCAUCCACAUACUCCUGUGCACUGUUUAGCCUGAGCCGGUUUUCCGGUCCAGGUUAUCAUUUCAUACAAACUCUAGUCUUAUGAAUGUAAACGUUUUAAUAACAUAAUA